Molecule: long non-coding RNA, 201 nt
Filed under: Gossypium raimondii (Peruvian cotton)
Lineage: Eukaryota; Viridiplantae; Streptophyta; Magnoliopsida; Malvales; Malvaceae
Description: long non-coding RNA (GRAI_LNC003264)
Source: RNAcentral
GGGGGGGCGAAAUCACUGUAAUUGGGGGAUUUUCUUUUUUCUUAUUUUCUUUUGGUUAAAACCGAAUUUUCUGUAAAGAAGAACGACCUCUUCUUUUUUACGAACAUCAGAAAUAAAAACAAAAAAAAGACUUUUAAAGUUUUUAGAUUCGCGUUUUUUUCUUUUUCUGUCCAUUUUUCUUUUUAUUUUUUUAUACUAAAU